AGACCUCCGUGAAAAGUAUUCCACAAAUUACCAGAGAGUUGAAGAUCCCCCAAAAGAUUGUAACCCCUGGUAAAACUUUCAGAAACAACCAGAUUUCACUUUUGAAAUCAGUUGAGACACAGGAGACCGUGUGGGAGAACUCAAAAUGCUGAGAGAGGAAGCACUUAUCCUCAGAUGAUAAACUAUCUACAGGAUAUCCAGCGGCUGGGAACACACAGUUGGAAAAUCCUUGCUUUAUCUCCCGAAACAGGACCCAAAUGUUGAUCAUGAGAGCCCAGUGCUGUCACUGUACAUCAGCACAAGCAAAGGAAACUAAAUACUCAAGCUCA
Molecule: long non-coding RNA, 329 nt
Organism: Sinocyclocheilus grahami
Lineage: Eukaryota; Metazoa; Chordata; Actinopteri; Cypriniformes; Cyprinidae
Exons: 3
Source: RefSeq, a predicted model, not a curated record